This 253-nucleotide ribosomal RNA is filed under the name uncultured bacterium. RNAcentral's name for it is "partial 16S ribosomal RNA". It matches the Rfam family "Bacterial small subunit ribosomal RNA", at positions 524 to 776 of the family's 1533-position model. The record is from RNAcentral.
GACAGAGGUGCCGAGCGUUAGGCGGAAUCACUGGGCUUAAAGCGUGUGUAGGCGGACUUCUAAGUACCUUGUGAAAUCCCACGGCUCAACCGUGGAACUGCUUGGUAUACUGUUCGUCUUGAGCCAUCUAGGGGCUGUCGGAACAAAUGGUGGAGCGGUGAAAUGCGUAGAUAUCAUUUGGAACGCCAAAGGUGAAAACAGACAGCUGGGGAUGUGCUGACGCUGAGACACGAAAGCCAGGGGAGCGAACGGG